CAAUAGCGUAUAUUAAAGUUGUUGCGGUUAAAAGCUCGUAGUUGGAUUUCUUCUCUUAUCAGCCGGUCCUCACUUCGUGAGAGUAUCUGGUCAGAUUUGAGAAUCCUCUUGAGGAACGUCGCUGCGCUUGAUUGCGUGGCACGGUAUUCAAGACUUUUACUUUGAGGAAAUUGGAGUGUUCACGGCAGGCAUUCGCCUUGUACACAUUAGCAUGGAAUAAUAAUAUAGGAUCACGACCCUAUUUUGUUGGUUUCUUAGAGUUGUGAUAAUGAUUAAUAGGGACGAAUUGGGGGCGGAUUUGUUAUUAACAACGUCAGAGGUGGAAUUCUUGGAUUGUUGUUACGUACAAACUAACUGCGAAAGACAUUUGUCCAAGGAAGUGUUUUCUAUUGAUCAAGAACGAAAGUAAUGGGAGUCGAAG
RNAcentral lists this ribosomal RNA (421 nucleotides) under uncultured eukaryote. RNAcentral's name for it is "bacterial SSU rRNA". It matches the Rfam family "Eukaryotic small subunit ribosomal RNA", at positions 592 to 1003 of the family's 1831-position model. The record is from RNAcentral.